CAAAAUAUAGCUUAGAAAAGCCCCCCGCUUACACCGGAAAAACAUCUGUUGAACUCAGAUUAUUUUGA
RNAcentral lists this transfer RNA (68 nucleotides) under Boophis madagascariensis (Madagascar bright-eyed frog). RNAcentral describes it as "tRNA-Val". It matches the Rfam family "tRNA". From Rfam's summary of the family: Transfer RNA (tRNA) molecules are approximately 80 nucleotides in length. Their secondary structure includes four short double-helical elements and three loops (D, anti-codon, and T loops). The record is from RNAcentral. Lineage: Eukaryota; Metazoa; Chordata; Amphibia; Anura; Mantellidae.